RNAcentral lists this ribosomal RNA (248 nucleotides) under uncultured bacterium. RNAcentral describes it as "partial 16S ribosomal RNA". It matches the Rfam family "Bacterial small subunit ribosomal RNA", at positions 333 to 577 of the family's 1533-position model. The record is from RNAcentral.
CAUGCCCUACGGGGCACAGCAGUGAGGAAUAUUGGUCAAUGGGCGCGAGCCUGAACCAGCCAAGUCGCGUGAGGGAUGACGGCCCUACGGGUUGUAAACCUCUUUUGCCGGGGAGCAACGGGCGCCACGUGUGGCGCCACUGAGAGUACCCGGAGAAAAAGCAUCGGCUAACUCCGUGCCAGCAGCCGCGGUAAUACGGAGGAUGCGAGCGUUAUCCGGAAUUAUUGGGUGUAAAGGGUGCGUAGACG